AUUACCGCGGCUGCUGGCACGUAGUUAGCCGUGGCUUUCUGGUUAGGUACCGUCAAGGUACAAGCAGUUACUCUUGUACUUGUUCUUCCCUAACAACAGAGUUUUACGAUCCGAAAACCUUCAUCACUCACGCGGCGUUGCUCCGUCAGACUUUCGUCCAUUGCGGAAGAUUCCCUACUGCUGCCUCCCGUAGG
RNAcentral lists this ribosomal RNA (194 nucleotides) under uncultured bacterium. Its description in RNAcentral is "partial 16S ribosomal RNA". The record is from RNAcentral.